GGCGCUCUAGCGUCGUGCCUAUACCGGGCCGUCAACGGCAAAGUGGGCGUCUGCCUUCGGGCAAGAGCCGUUAAGCCUUGACGAGUAGGAAGGUCGCGGCGGUGUGCGCAGAAGGGUCAGGGCGUGAGCCUGCCUGGAGCCGCCGUCGGUGCAGAUCUUGGUGGUAGUAGCAAAUACUCUAGCGAGGGCCUGGAGGACUGACGUGGAGAAGGGUUUCUUGUGAACAGCCGUUGCACAAGAGUCAGUCGACCCUAAGUUCUAGGAGAAAUCCGAUGUCGAUGGGUAACUAGACAACAGGCUAGCGAGUCUGCGGACCGCUGUCUUUUUGACAAAAGUUCCCGUUCGGGCAAAAGGGAAUCCGGUUCAUAUUCCGGAACCCGGCUGCGUGACCGCCACUUUGCGGGCACUCGCCUGCGAGCGCUCGUCGGGGUAACCCAAACUGGCCCGGAGACGCCGGCGGGGGGUCUGGAAAGAGUUUUCUUUUCUUUAUAAGCGUUCGAGUACCCUGGAAUCCUAUAGCAGGGAGAUAGGGUUUGGAGCGCGAAGAGCACCGCAGUUGCGGCGGUGUCCGGACCUUCCCCCCGGACCUUGAAAAUCUGGGUGAGGGCUACGCGGAAGUCGCGCCGGAUCGUACCCAUAUCCGCAGCAGGUCUCCAAGGUUAAGA
RNAcentral lists this ribosomal RNA (665 nucleotides) under Duilius tenuis. RNAcentral describes it as "eukaryotic LSU rRNA". It matches the Rfam family "Eukaryotic large subunit ribosomal RNA", at positions 1324 to 1878 of the family's 3401-position model. Lineage: Eukaryota; Metazoa; Arthropoda; Insecta; Hemiptera; Cixiidae. The record is from RNAcentral.